RNAcentral lists this ribosomal RNA (490 nucleotides) under uncultured bacterium. RNAcentral describes it as "bacterial SSU rRNA". It matches the Rfam family "Bacterial small subunit ribosomal RNA", at positions 30 to 507 of the family's 1533-position model. The record is from RNAcentral.
AUUGAACGCUGGCGGCAUGCCUAACACAUGCAAGUCGAACGGCAGCACGGCAGUAGCAAUACUGUGGGUGGCGAGUGGCGGACGGGUGAGGAAUACGUCGGAAUCUGCCCAGUCGUGGGGAUAACUAGCCGAAAGGUUAGCUAAUACCGCAUACGACCGAGAGGUGAAAGCGGGGGACCGCAAGGCCUCGCGCGAUUGGAUGAGCCGACGUCGGAUUAGCUAGUUGGUGGGGUAAAGGCCCACCAAGGCGACGAUCCGUAGCUGGUCUGAGAGGGAUGAUCAGCCACACUGGAACUGAGACACGGUCCAGACUCCUACGGGAGGCAGCAGUGGGGAAUAUUGGACAAUGGGCGCAAGCCUGAUCCAGCAAUGCCGCGUGUGUGAAGAAGGCCUUCGGGUUGUAAAGCACUUUUAUCAGGAACGAAAAGCGUUGGAUUAAUACUCUGACGUGCUGACGGUACCUGAGGAAUAAGCACCGGCUAACUUCGUG